This is an RNA transcript of Magnolia sinica, 1869 nucleotides long. It is a transcript of the gene named cysteine-rich receptor-like protein kinase 44, with no coding region annotated. NCBI's taxonomy places the organism in Eukaryota, Viridiplantae, Streptophyta, Magnoliopsida, Magnoliales, Magnoliaceae. The transcript is spliced from 2 exons. The record is from RefSeq and is a predicted model, not a curated record.
AUAGAAUGUUUAAAGUUAUUUACCCUUCUUUCCUUCUUGUACUGAUUGUGGAUGUAGGAAGGGGAAAAAAAAAGAAGAAGCAAAUCUUGUUAUUUACGAGUCUGCAAUCUUUGUUUCAACUGAAACAAUGCAUUUAUGACCUUUUAGGUCCUAUUGUUGGAGUGAGUUCUUAAUAGUGGUAUUCAAGUAAGACCUAAUCAUAUUGGUGUAAUAUGCUAGUAUGUUGCUUGACAUAAUAGUGGGAUCAUAUGUUAUUUUAUUGUUCCCAAAUGGAGUAACAUGGUCAUAACAUGUUUGAUUUUUCAUGUUGAUUUGCCUAGAAAUGAACCUAAGGUAGCAUUGGACAUUGAUGAUUCAAGAAUCUGGCCAUUUUAUAGGGUUGCAAAUGGAUCCAUUCUCCAAAAAUCAACCCAUCCCAGAUUAAUUUUUAAGUGGGCCUUUGAACUGAGUUGAGAUUUCUAGAGUUUGCUUCCUUUAUGGUAUUUGGGUAAAAUUCUCUUUUCCUAUCCAAUAUUUCUCUAUGGUUUGGAAGUAUUACAGUCUUAAUGUAUUUUUUAAUUGCUUCAGGUGGAUUUAAAAUUUUCUCUAUAUAUACAUAAAAAUAAAAUAGGGCAGUGGUCCUAUGCCCCUAGAUUUUAGAUCAUACGAAAAUUCAUAUUUAUAUUUUUUGUGAAAUUAUUUUGCUAAUUCGAUGCAUCUGUUUUUAGAAUUGUUAGCAGUCCAAAAAAACAAGGGUUUUUUUUUUUGCAUUUUUAUACACAAUUCCUUCUAAGCUUGCUUUUAAGUUUCUUUUUUUUCCUUAGCUCUCUUAUUUUAUUCUUGGAAGCUGUAUGAUUAGAUGGAAGGAUAUGUCACAACUCACAAUCAAUUGGAGAAAAUCGAAUUUUAGAAUUUUUUGGGGAUGAACUAUGUCAAUGUUUUACAUCACAUCACACUCUUCCUUGAUUGGAUUGGGGAAAUCUGGUGCAGAUUACACAAGGAGGGUUUUAUUGGAUUGGGGACAGUGGUUUAAGAAUUUUCUUUUUGGUCACUAGUUGAAAGGUUAGAAUUUUCCUACUUGGGAGUUUUUCAGGCCAUGAGCCGUCCACAGUGGGGCCCAUCAUCUCUUUGGGUCACCAUAUUGAGAACCCAAGAAGACUAAAUGUACUCUGAUCAUGCAUUGUGUAUCUUCAAACUUCUUUCAUCAUAAUGAAACCUAAUGCGGGAAAAUGGAAUGCAGUGGUUAUAUGUCUCUAGAGUAUGCAAUGGAUGGGCUUUUCUCAGUGAAAUCAGAUGUCUUUAUCUUUGGGGUCUUACUGCUGGAGAUCAUUAAUGGUAAGAGGAACAACGACUGUUUCAGGGACGAUCCUUCACAGAAUUUGGUAAGAUAUAGAUAAUUCAGAAUUAGUAGAGACAGAUGGGUGGAAGGAUAUAAGCAUUGCCACACCACUGACAAGUUGUUCAAUAGAAAAUUUGAAAGGUAUGAUAUUCAAACAAGAAGUGUUGUAGUCCUGGCAUAUUGCUAUGUAGAUUUUCUUUUGUACAUUGUUCAAAAAACUUUUGGCCUGAGCUUGGCUGAGUUAACCUAUUUAAAAAGCUGGCAAAACAUUCCAAGUUGAUUAUUUACUUGGAGUAUUAGUAGUUUCAACCCAAUAAGUUUCUGGAUUGUUGAAACUGAAUUGAAACUUUAAGUUUCUUCAGAGAAUUGCUGGCAUUUUGUUUGGUAUCAUCUUUUUGUUGAUUCGGUUAACUCCUUUACUGCUUCUAACACAAGCAAAACCCAAUUGAAAUUGGUGAACUUUUAGCUUGUAUUAUUGGUUUCUGUUGGUUUGUAAUUGCAAGGUCCCCUUCAUGGUUACACUUGUAAUUUGUUUUCUCUUUCUAUACCAA